This 652-nucleotide ribosomal RNA is filed under the name uncultured bacterium. RNAcentral describes it as "bacterial SSU rRNA". It matches the Rfam family "Bacterial small subunit ribosomal RNA", at positions 159 to 809 of the family's 1533-position model. The record is from RNAcentral.
CGGGCUAAACCCGCGUACAUGCCACCGGGGCAUCCCGGAGGCAGGAAAGGCUUCGGCCGGACAGGGAUGGGCAUGCGGCGCAUUAGGCAGUAGGCGGGGUAACGGCCCACCUAACCGACGAUGCGUAGGGGUUCUGAGAGGAAGGUCCCCCACACUGGUACUGAGACACGGACCAGACUCCUACGGGAGGCAGCAGUGAGGAAUAUUGGUCAAUGGUCGGGAGACUGAACCAGCCAAGCCGCGUGAGGGAUGAAGGUACAGAGUAUCGUAAACCUCUUUUGUCAGGGAACAAAGGCGGGGACGUGUCCCCGGAUGAGUGUACCUGAAGAAAAAGCAUCGGCUAACUCCGUGCCAGCAGCCGCGGUAAUACGGAGGAUGCGAGCGUUAUCCGGAUUUAUUGGGUUUAAAGGGUGCGCAGGCGGUCUGUUAAGUCAGCGGUCAAAGCCCGGGGCUCAACCCCGGCCCGCCGUUGAAACUGGCAGUCUCGAGUUGGAGAGAAGUAUGCGGAAUGCGCGGUGUAGCGGUGAAAUGCAUAGAUAUCGCGCAGAACUCCGAUUGCGAAGGCGGCAUGCCGGCUCCACACUGACGCUGAGGCACGAAAGCGUGGGUAUCGAACAGGAUUAGAUACCCUGGUAGUCCACGCAGUAAACGA